Molecule: long non-coding RNA, 717 nt
Filed under: Homo sapiens (human)
Lineage: Eukaryota; Metazoa; Chordata; Mammalia; Primates; Hominidae
Description: novel transcript
Source: RNAcentral
AACCCAAAGGGCUAAGUCUUCUUUCUUAAUUUUUAAAACAAGCAUGUGUUUUGUUCUUUACAUGAAUCGUCGGUUCUCCCAGUGUGAUCACGACACUGUCCCAUGCUGAUUCCAUGCACGGUGCAACUCUUUCCCAAGAGAGAUUCUAACUCAGGACACCUGGGAGAGGACCCGAGCUGCAUUUCUCACAGCUACCAGAUGCUGCACGCUGGCAAGGUUUUGGGAUGCACUGAAUCCAGUUCAGCAUGUUUACUGAGCAUAUACCACAUAGAGAGCCCAGAUGAUAAAAAAAUGAGAAGAUGGGUUGUACCUGCCCUUGAGGAGCUAACAAGCUUGUAAACUGAGGCCCAGAAAGGUUCAGCCAUCUGCCUGAGGUCACACAGCCACAGUUUGGACCUGAGCCAUCAAUCAUCCACCAAAAGCCUGCAUUGACCCUAGAAGAUUCCAUUGCAUGUUGUCAAGGCGCUUAGUUUCUCUCUUGUGUCUCCCCAAAACAUAAACCUGGAAUGGAAGAGAGCCACUUACUCUAUAGAUGCUUUUAGCUCAGAACGCUUCAAGCUUUUGGAGUAUGAGAAAUAAUAACAAUCAUUCCAUUCUUUCCUGGAGUUUGAUCUCAGCUGUUGGUGAUAUUGUUGGGACUGAUUUGCUAUCUAUAAAGCCAAAUUUGAGAAAAGACAGGUUAAAAAUAAACAGGGAGGAUGAUGGUAGUAAAAAUAA